CAGAGGAUCACACGUGGGAGAUUUCCAUGGGCCAGCCUGGAAGUGGCACAUGUCACUGCUGCCCACAUUCCUUUGAUCUGAACUGUCACAUGGCCACACCUAACUGCAAAGGAGGCUGGGAAGUGAAGUCCAGAUGAGGUGGAAAUCAUCUAGUGAACAGAUAACAGUUUGUGUCCCAGACAGGACACAGAUUAUUACAAGAGACCCAGAGUGCCCCUCACAAAAGUUAGAUUGGAGAUGCCAAGUUCAAUGUGAAAAUGUCCAAGUCCUUGGAACACGUGGGGGUUGGUUUGCUUUUGUUUUUGUUUUCGAUGACCGAAUACGUGAACAGUACAUUUCUCUUGUAGGGAAAUGAGUUUAUGUUGUGAUCCUUGGACCAAACUCACUAGCAGUAUGAAAGCUUGCUCCCUCAUGCCCUGCCUUGACAGCCUUUCAUCUUAGUUGUCCUGAGAGCUGAGGUCAAAGAGCAUGAGCUUCAACACUCAGCUCUGAACAGUGGCUCAGAGCUUUGGGCCCUCGAGAUGUACGGGGCAUCGACGGCCAUGCUGAGAGAUGCCGGUGGUGAUACUGUGGUCCCUUCAAGGCAUUUAUCACCUGAUGAAGCUGCCUCCGGGCCAUUUCAUUUUCUCCUGACAAAUGCCUGUGUCCCCUCAGCCCUUGGAUCAACAAGGCUGUGGCUGUCAGCCCAACAGGAAGUCCUGUCUCUGUUUCCGUCUUUGCUGCGUGUUCCACCCAGUGGGCACUUGGGGGUGGGUGCCGAUUAGCUUCUGUGUGAUGCUAUGGGCUGCACCCCUCCCCGCGCCAGGCACCGUGCUGGGCACUCCGUGCACCCCACGCCCCAGUCCUUGUGACCUGCUGCAGGAAAUGUUCUGUAGCAGACUUUUCUGGUUCUAGAAACAAGAGGCUCACCCCAGGUCCUCGAGCAGUGGGUGUUCAUUGAGGGAUCCAGAAACCCCCAGGCACUCUUGUCUUCUGGGGUAUUUUCUUAAUGGAUAUUUUGUGCUAUUUUACUGAACGUGCUGGAUGGUAAAAGGUGUUUACCUCACAGGAAUGCAAACUGUUUGACUCAAUAUUUUUAUUGUCUUAAAAAUCUUCUAGGUGUCCGUCAUCAGGAACUUCCCCUGUAUACCUCUCUUGGCAGCCUGCAGCCUCCUGGACAUUUGGAGAGGCGCUCCCAACACACCCUGAUUCCAUUUUGGGAGUCUUUUCUGUGCCUCCUCCAAACUCCUCCUCCACAUCGUGCCGAGAAGUUUAAUUUCCUCUCUCACUGGGGUCCGGGCCUCCCCAGGCAGCCCCAACCCCAAUAAUACUCUGCUAAGCAGAGUAUCUGCUGAGCACACACGUUGGAAGGGGACUGAAGAACUACCAGAGGCGUCUCUUUCUUCCCUGAUUUUCUUUAUCCCUUCCCCACAAGCCCCCACGAGGGGAGGAGAGCUGUGUAAAGGUUUCUUUCCCCACCGACAUGAGUGGGCUGCCUCCUCCCUCCCCUCCCCUCCCGGGCAAACAUGGCUGCAGCCUCCUGUUUUCAUUUAUAAUCAGAUGGAGAGGUGCCCCCCAACAUUCUAACACAGAGACCGUUGUGUCCCCGCACCCUGGAGAUGAGCUGUGGAUUUAAGGUAGCUCUAGGACCAGGUAUUCUGUCAUCUGAUAAAAAGAUGGUCUAAGGGGCACCCGGGAGGCUCAGUCGGUUAAGCGUCCAACUUAAGCUCAGGUCAUGAUCUCCUGGUUGGUGAGUUCAAGCCCCGUGUGAGGCUCUAUGCUGACAGCUCAGAGCCUGGAGCCUGCUCUGGAUUCUGUGUCUCCCUCUCUCUCUCUACCCCUCCCCUGCUUGAGCUCUGUUGCUCCCUCCCCAAAAUAAAUUAAACAUUAAAAAAAAAAAAAAGAUCUAAGGGGCACCUGGGUGGCUCAGUUAGUUAAGCAUCCAACUUCAGCUCAGCUCAUGGUCUCACGGUCUGUGAGUACGAGCCCUGCGUCAGGCUCUGUGCUGACAGCUUAGAGCCUGGAGCCUGUUUCAGAUUCUGUGUCUCCCUCUCUCUCUGCCCUUCCCCCACUCACGCUCUGUCUCUCUCCCUCUCUCAAAAAUGGAUAAACAUUAAAAAGAAAUUAAAAGAUGAUCUGGGGCUUCCCUGCCAGGUUUCACCACUGCCCACUGAGACCCAGCGGCUGUGAUUAAAGCUGCUUCUUUAUCCCAGUUUAGGUUUCUUUUUUUUUCCUUUUUAUUUUUAUUUUAAUGUUCAUUCAUUUUUGAGAGACAGAGUAUGAGCAGGGAAGGCAGAGAGAGGGAGAUACAGAAUCCGAAACGGGCUCCAGGCCCUGAGCUGUCAGCACAGAGCCCCCACAUGGGCUUGAACUCACCAACCUAGAGAUCAUGACUUGAGCCCAAGUUGGACGCUCAACCUACUGAGUCACCCAGGUGCCUCUCCCAAUUUAGGUUUCUGAAAGGGAAUCUGAUUGGCCUCAUUCGUUUCCACUCACUUUUCAUGCCAGACAUUCAUAGGUCAGAUGCCUACCCUGGCCCAUCAGCUGUGGUCAGGGCAGUACAGAGUACCGCUGCCUUAGGAGGGACAGAAGGGACCGAGGGAGCGGGUAUUUCCUGCUGCUGCUGGGAUAGACCAUGUGGUAUAGUCCCCUGUUUUGCCCAAAGUCAUACAGCUAAAUGUCAGAGGCAAGGUACAGAGCUGUUCAUGCCAAAGCCACUUAACCAUCACCCCUUUGUUCUACAUUCACCUGUCAAAGGUAGAGGUGGGAGACACAGGAUGAUGGGAAGGAGUUCCUUGGCCAGGACUAAAAUAUAGCGAGUAUGGUGGAAAUAAAGUGAUCACUCCUGUAGUAGAUACAUUUACAAUCCUCCUAUCAAGAACAGUUAUCAAGCCCUUACACACA
Long non-coding RNA from Neofelis nebulosa (Clouded leopard), 2883 nucleotides. RefSeq lists it as uncharacterized. The transcript has 2 exons. The record is from RefSeq and is a predicted model, not a curated record. Lineage: Eukaryota; Metazoa; Chordata; Mammalia; Carnivora; Felidae.